CAUAUCAAUAAGCGGAGGAAAAGAAACUAACAAGGAUUCCCCUAGUAACUGCGAGUGAAGCGGGAAGAGCUCAAAUUUAAAAUCUGGUAGUCUUUGGCUGCCCGAGUUGUAAUCUAGAGAAGCGUUAUCCGCGCUGGACCGUGUACAAGUCUCCUGGAAUGGAGCGUCAUAGAGGGUGAGAAUCCCGUCUUUGACACGGACUACCAGGGCUUUGUGAUACGCUCUCGAAGAGUCGAGUUGUUUGGGAAUGCAGCUCUAAAUGGGUGGUAAAUUCCAUCUAAAGCUAAAUAUUGGCGAGAGACCGAUAGCGAACAAGUACCGUGAGGGAAAGAUGAAAAGAACUUUGGAAAGAGAGUUAAACAGUACGUGAAAUUGUUGAAAGGGAAACGCUUGAAGUCAGUCACGUUGGCUAGGAAUCAGCCUUGCUUUUGCUUGGUGUAUUUCCUGGUUUUAACGGGUCAGCAUCAAUUUCGACCGAUGGAAAAAGGUCGGGGGAAUGUGGCAUCUUAGGAUGUGUUAUAGCCCCUGGUCGUAUACAUCGGUUGGGAUUGAGGAACUCAGCACGCCGCAAGGUCGGGUUAUCUAACCACGUUCGUGCUUAGGAUGCUGGCAUAAUGGCUUUAAUCGACCCGUCUUGAAACACGGACCAAGGAGUCUAACAUGCCUGCGAGUGUUUGGGUGGAAAACCCGAGCGCGUAAUGAAAGUGAAAGUUGAGAUCCCUGUCGUGGGGAGCAUCGACGCCCGGACCAGACCUUCUGUGACGGAUCCGCGGUAGAGCAUGUAUGUUGGGACCCGAAAGAUGGUGAACUAUGCCUGAAUAGGGUGAAGCCAGAGGAAACUCUGGUGGAGGCUCGUAGCGAUUCUGACGUGCAAAUCGAUCGUCAAAUUUGGGUAUAGGGGCGAAAGACU
This 910-nucleotide ribosomal RNA is filed under the name Lulesia mundula. RNAcentral describes it as "Clitocella mundula partial large subunit ribosomal RNA". It matches the Rfam family "Eukaryotic large subunit ribosomal RNA", at positions 39 to 932 of the family's 3401-position model. Lineage: Eukaryota; Fungi; Basidiomycota; Agaricomycetes; Agaricales; Entolomataceae. The record is from RNAcentral.